RNAcentral lists this ribosomal RNA (617 nucleotides) under Escherichia coli. Its description in RNAcentral is "partial 23S ribosomal RNA". It matches the Rfam family "Bacterial large subunit ribosomal RNA", at positions 2259 to 2870 of the family's 2925-position model. Lineage: Bacteria; Pseudomonadati; Pseudomonadota; Gammaproteobacteria; Enterobacterales; Enterobacteriaceae. The record is from RNAcentral.
UGGUGGGUAGUUUGACUGGGGCGGUCUCCUCCUAAAGAGUAACGGAGGAGCACGAAGGUUGGCUAAUCCUGGUCGGACAUCAGGAGGUUAGUGCAAUGGCAUAAGCCAGCUUGACUGCGAGCGUGACGGCGCGAGCAGGUGCGAAAGCAGGUCAUAGUGAUCCGGUGGUUCUGAAUGGAAGGGCCAUCGCUCAACGGAUAAAAGGUACUCCGGGGAUAACAGGCUGAUACCGCCCAAGAGUUCAUAUCGACGGCGGUGUUUGGCACCUCGAUGUCGGCUCAUCACAUCCUGGGGCUGAAGUAGGUCCCAAGGGUAUGGCUGUUCGCCAUUUAAAGUGGUACGCGAGCUGGGUUUAGAACGUCGUGAGACAGUUCGGUCCCUAUCUGCCGUGGGCGCUGGAGAACUGAGGGGGGCUGCUCCUAGUACGAGAGGACCGGAGUGGACGCAUCACUGGUGUUCGGGUUGUCAUGCCAAUGGCACUGCCCGGUAGCUAAAUGCGGAAGAGAUAAGUGCUGAAAGCAUCUAAGCACGAAACUUGCCCCGAGAUGAGUUCUCCCUGACUCCUUGAGAGUCCUGAAGGAACGUUGAAGACGACGACGUUGAUAGGCCGGGUGUGU